GCUGUCUCCUAGCGCCGCAUCAACUUGCUGCAUGCAGCAAAAUCUAGUUUAGUUUAGAUCACAGGUAAUGUGCAUAUUGCAAAUUCGCGCGCAAGGUCGCGUGCCGUCGACGCGCCGCUUUUGCGCACCUCUUGCUUUCUUAUCAUAUACGUCCCGUCGUUGUAUACGCAGUUUUGGCAUGCACUAUCGGUGGAUUGCAGCCAGUUUCGUGCCGGUCGCUGGUUAUUUCGGUUGUGUUUUGAGAGACUUAUAUCGUUUAUUCCUGUUAUAUACGAAGAUCAAUCGACUAUUUAUUUGUACUUUGCGACUAUAGUAAUUUGCUUAAUGUUCGGACAUGCCGGUUUUUGAUCGCGUUUGUUAUGUAUAUUACAAGUCACGUGAUAGUGGUGAUAACAUUCUUCACUCGGCGUUGUGUUUGGUGUCAGUUACUAAAUUAAUCGUAUAUAUACCUAUAUAUAUCACCACCAUGUCGAUUCUCAUCACUAAGAAAGAUUCAUCAGGCUCGUUUACAGCACUCGUUGUGCCUGGCAGUCCGAUAAGCUGUACACUGCCGGCGAACGCAAUGUCGUGGAGCCGCCGUUCUUGCACUAAAUUGUACGGUGCCUUGAAUGGGAGUCACUUCUAUCGCUACCUUCGCACAGUGCCCUAAAUGGGAGCCUUAAUGGAUCCUUUGUUGGAUGAAGCAUUGGCUGGCUUAUCCUGAGAUGUCUAAGUUUAUCAAUAAGGAGCAAGUGGAGAGGUUCCGGGGUACUGAGUGCGUAUUGAGGAUGAUGUGUCCUUUACUGAAGAUGGAUGUGUCAACUGGACUAAAAUACCAAGAACUGUCCAAGAAGUUGAAGAUUGGAUUGCCGGUGUUGAUGAUGAUUCCAAAUACGAUUGAAUGAAUUUACAACAUUUUGAAGCUGAUAUUGAUAUAAUUUUUAUGUAUUUUGUUAAAAGAUAUAAAAAGAACAUUAUCUAAUUGCAUAUUAUUAUCCUGUUUUCAUGCUUGUAUUGUUAAAAAUGUUGUAUAAAUUAAGAAAUUGAGUUUGUUAUUCUACAUGUUUGAAUAAAAUUGUUGUUUUAUA
Dalotia coriaria is the source of this 1067-nucleotide long non-coding RNA. RefSeq lists it as uncharacterized. The transcript is spliced from 5 exons. The record is from RefSeq and is a predicted model, not a curated record. Lineage: Eukaryota; Metazoa; Arthropoda; Insecta; Coleoptera; Staphylinidae.